Passer domesticus (house sparrow) is the source of this 1111-nucleotide long non-coding RNA. RefSeq lists it as uncharacterized. Lineage: Eukaryota; Metazoa; Chordata; Aves; Passeriformes; Passeridae. The record is from RefSeq and is a predicted model, not a curated record. The transcript is spliced from 4 exons.
GGAGCACCUGAAUGACGCAGGUGCUCAUUAGAGGAAGCCCUCUGAAGAAUAGACACACCUCUGAAGGAGCCCAGCUCAGAAGAGACAGUCACAUGAGAUGAUGCCUUGGAAAGUCCUGGACUCUGCUGCCAAUGAGCCAAACCUUCCCAUGGUCCCUCAGCUGAAAGAUUCCACAAAGCACACCCAAACUAUAAAAGAACCAGCAACAGCACACCUAUGCUGCUCAGUCUUCUGGAUUUCUGUGCUGGAAGGAGCAUCUGGGGUCUUCUAAAGAUCUGAGCCUUCCAUCUGUGGAUCAUGAUUUCCAUCUUUAUUCCCAUGGACAUGGAUACACAAGUGCCACAUGCAGCUGUCAUCCCACAUUUGGCUACUGAGCUAAUGUAGAUUGCUGAUGUUCUGCAGGCAGAAACUAACUGGAAUAUUCCAAGAGCUAUAAAGGAGCAGCCAUUUGAUUUAACUUAUUUACCAUGGAAAAAUCUAAUCUUGGGGUCUAGUUUAAUGUUGGAUUGACUUUCAGCCAACAUAAGAAACCACCUACAGAGACACGAAGAAAAGGAUCCUGUCAGCCCAUAUGCUUUUACAAGAUGCACCUCACUGUGUGCUCAAGGAGUUAAUUAAUUAUUCAGACAUCUUCAAGCACAACACCAGGCAACUUUACAGAGCUCACAAGAAGUGAAACUUCUGGACAAGACUCUGGCAAUAAUCUGUUGAUGACAACUGGGUCAGAGCAGGGACUUGCUGAAAUCCUUGGUAGCCUGAGAAUAUCUGGUACUGUGGAGUGGCUGUGGGGCAAGUGAGCAGCUGGCCACAGGGGAUGAGAGAGGGUGGGAGCAGCACUGACUCUGCUCAGCUCUCUUGCAAUUUCUCUCCAGGGAAAUGCAAGAGAAGAGUGAAAAAGAUGCCACUUCUCCUUGAUAUUCAGAGCAUUUUUGUGGUUAUGAUGUAUGUGGCCAUUACCUUGUGAGAUAGGGUUUGGUUUUUUUAAAAUUGGGAUAACUUGGAAGCAAGUAUUUGUUUGUCUGUUAAUGGCUCCUAGAUGAGAUUCACAAAUAGUAAAAUAUUUGAUGUUGAAUUGUUUAGGAAGGAAAAAAUAAAAUCUAAGCUACUUUCA